AUACUUACCUGGCACAGGAGUGACUUUGAUCAAGAAGGAAUGUGCUCCCAAGAUGAGGCCUCGGCAUUGCACUUGGCUGAGGUUGACCCAUUCCCCCAAAUGUUGUGGGGAACCCGGGUGUAUAAUUUAUGGUAGUGGGGGACUGCGUUCGCGCUAACCCCUA
Molecule: small nuclear RNA, 163 nt
Organism: Anneissia japonica
Lineage: Eukaryota; Metazoa; Echinodermata; Crinoidea; Comatulida; Comatulidae
Product: U1 spliceosomal RNA
Exons: 1
Source: RefSeq, a predicted model, not a curated record